GGGGGUGACAGGUUUCGACUUCGUACGUUGCGCCAGGGGAAGCGAGCCGAGGAAGCCGACGCCCGCUCGUUAAAACGGCCGUCGGAAACCACAAGCGCCGACAAUAAGCGCGCUGACUACGCUCUCGCCGCCUGAGCGAGUAGCUAGUCUGUCGGUCUGGGAGCGCCUUCGUCCCAGCAGCCGGCAUCAGUGAGAAGGCUGGCAGACCAGACCCGGUCGCGGGGUCUGUGACGCGAGAUUAAUCAGCGACUGGGCCCGUCACAUCGACUCGCUCGCGUGAUCGAUGGGGCCGAGCAGAGACGUAGCGAGCUGCGCUCGGAGAAGCCCUGGUAAUGCGGCGGAGGACCCGGGUUCGAUUCCCGGCACCUCCACCC
Molecule: transfer-messenger RNA, 374 nt
Filed under: Natronosporangium hydrolyticum
Lineage: Bacteria; Bacillati; Actinomycetota; Actinomycetes; Micromonosporales; Micromonosporaceae
Description: Standard tmRNA
Rfam family: transfer-messenger RNA
About the family: Bacterial tmRNA, also known as 10Sa RNA or SsrA, is named for its dual tRNA and mRNA-like properties. Its role is to liberate the mRNA from a stalled ribosome. To accomplish this part of the tmRNA is used as a reading frame that ends in a translation stop signal.
Source: Rfam by way of RNAcentral